CCUACGGGAGGCAGCAGUGAGGAAUAUUGGUCAAUGGACGAGAGUCUGAACCAGCCAAGUAGCGUGAAGGAUGACUGCCCUAUGGGUUGUAAACUUCUUUUAUAUGGGAAUAAAAUGUUCCACGUGUGGCUUUUUGUAUGUACUUUAUGAAUAAGGAUCGGCUAACUCCGUGCCAGCAGCCGCGGUAAUACGGAGGAUCCGAGCGUUAUCCGGAUUUAUUGGGUUUAAAGGGAGCGUAGGUGGAUUGUUAAGUCAGUUGUGAAAGUUUGCGGCUCAACCGUAAAAUUGCAGUUGAAACUGGCAGUCUUGAGUACAGUAGAGGUGGGCGGAAUUCGUGGUGUAGCGGUGAAAUGCUUAGAUAUCACGAAGAACUCCGAUUGCGAAGGCAGCUCACUGGACUGCAACUGACACUGAGGCUCGAAAGUGUGGGUAUCAAACAGGAUUAGAUACCCUUGUAGUC
RNAcentral lists this ribosomal RNA (460 nucleotides) under uncultured bacterium. Its description in RNAcentral is "partial 16S ribosomal RNA". It matches the Rfam family "Bacterial small subunit ribosomal RNA", at positions 338 to 795 of the family's 1533-position model. The record is from RNAcentral.